AAAUUGAAGAGUUUGAUCAUGGCUCAGAUUGAACGCUGGCGGCAGGCCUAACACAUGCAAGUCGAACGGUAACAGGAAGCAGCUUGCUGCUUUGCUGACGAGUGGCGGACGGGUGAGUAAUGUCUGGGAAACUGCCUGAUGGAGGGGGAUAACUACUGGAAACGGUGGCUAAUACCGCAUAAUGUCGCAAGACCAAAGAGGGGGACCUUCGGGCCUCUUGCCAUCAGAUGUGCCCAGAUGGGAUUAGCUUGUUGGUGAGGUAACGGCUCACCAAGGCGACGAUCCCUAGCUGGUCUGAGAGGAUGACCAGCCACACUGGAACUGAGACACGGUCCAGACUCCUACGGGAGGCAGCAGUGGGGAAUAUUGCACAAUGGGCGCAAGCCUGAUGCAGCCAUGCCGCGUGUAUGAAGAAGGCCUUCGGGUUGUAAA
RNAcentral lists this ribosomal RNA (432 nucleotides) under Salmonella enterica. RNAcentral's name for it is "bacterial SSU rRNA". It matches the Rfam family "Bacterial small subunit ribosomal RNA", at positions 1 to 429 of the family's 1533-position model. Lineage: Bacteria; Pseudomonadati; Pseudomonadota; Gammaproteobacteria; Enterobacterales; Enterobacteriaceae. The record is from RNAcentral.